UACGGAGGGUGCAAGCGUUGUUCGGAAUUACUGGGCGUAAAGCGCGUGUAGGCGGCCGAUUAAGUCUGGUGUGAAAGCCCGGGGCUCACCCCCGGAAGUGCGCUGGAAACUGGUCGGCUAGAGUAUGGGAGAGGAAAGUGGAAUUCCUGGUGUAGCGGUGAAAUGCGCAGAUAUCAGGAGGAACACCGGUGGCGAAGGCGGGUCUCUGGGCCGAUACUGACGCUGAGGAGCGAAAGCGUGGGGAGCGAACAGG
This 253-nucleotide ribosomal RNA is filed under the name uncultured bacterium. RNAcentral's name for it is "partial 16S ribosomal RNA". It matches the Rfam family "Bacterial small subunit ribosomal RNA", at positions 524 to 776 of the family's 1533-position model. The record is from RNAcentral.